GAGAAAAGAACCUGUCUCGAUAGCCAAGGAGACUGCCUGUAUACCAGACAAGGAUUCUUAAACCACUAGCAAACUAGCUAGCUAGCUUAGCUAACACUAGCUAAGCUAACCAAGCAUAUCUCUCACAGUACACAUAAAUUUUUCGGAGGCCUUUGGGAGGUUGCAGGCAAGUCAUCCUUGGCUACAAAACACGGCUCUUCAUC
RNAcentral lists this microRNA precursor (203 nucleotides) under Malus domestica (apple). Lineage: Eukaryota; Viridiplantae; Streptophyta; Magnoliopsida; Rosales; Rosaceae. The record is from RNAcentral.